CUGCAUUUUAUUUAGUUGUAAUCUCUGUUCUGCCUUUUUAUUUUUCACUAUAUUUGGUCCUGCCUUUUUUAUAUAAAUUUAUCCCGUGUUUUUGCCCAGUUGCUCAUCCUGCCUUCUUUUUUUCUAAACAAUCCUGUCUUUUUUAUAUAAAUUUAUCCCGUUUUUUUGCCCAGUUGCUCAUCCUGCCUUCUUUUUUACUAAACAAUCCUGUCUUGCCUUUUUUAUACUCAAAUCCCUGUCCUGCAGGCUUUUUUUAAAUUUCAUCAUAGCCCUCUCCCCCUCCCCCCCCCCCCCCCAAAAAAAAAAUCAAAUGGUAGCCCCCUUAACUUGGACUCGGAACUUGGAAUAAAAAAAAACAAUUAAUAUUACACCACCUUUUUAAAAUCAAAAUCCUAACCUCCUAUAACAAUGUAAAAGAUAUAUUAUAUAUAGGCCUAUUUCGUUUAUUUCGUUGUAUUUCGUUUCUUCAUUUUCCAUUUCGUUUCGUUUCGUUUCUUCAUUUUGUUUCGUUUCGUUAUAUUUCGUUGCGUUUCGUUGUAUUUCGUUUCGUUUCGUUAUAUUUCGUUUCGUUUCGUUUCGAUUCCGUUUCUCACUUUAUAAGUACCC
Molecule: long non-coding RNA, 606 nt
Filed under: Mytilus galloprovincialis (Mediterranean mussel)
Lineage: Eukaryota; Metazoa; Mollusca; Bivalvia; Mytilida; Mytilidae
Source: RNAcentral